UGCCUUACGAUAAUCUAUGUAAGGUUAAUCCUGCCCAGUGAUGUUUCAACGGCCGCGGUACCCUGACCGUGCAAAGGUAGCAUAAUCAUUUGCCUUUUAAUUGGAGGCUGGAAUGAACGGAUAAACGAGAGUAUAUCUGUCUCUAAAUUACACUAUAUAAAUUAAACUUUAGGUGAAGAUGCCUAAAUAAAAUAAAAAGACAAGAAGACCCUAUUGAGUUUUAUUAAGCUACUACACUACUAUUCACUUUUAGCUAUUAAUUUGGUUGGGGCGACCAAGGAAAUAUUAAACAUCCUUUAUUACUCAGGACCAUUCUCCCUUCUAUUGACCCUCUAAUGAUCAACAGAAUAAACUACCAUAGGGAUAACAGGCUUAUCUUCUUUGAGAGCUCAUAUUGAUAAGAAGGUCUGGCACCUCGAUGUUGGCUUAGGGCACCCAUUAAAUGCAACAGUUUAAUAAGGGUAGUUUGUUCAACUAUUAAAUCCCU
RNAcentral lists this ribosomal RNA (487 nucleotides) under Pholoides asperus. RNAcentral describes it as "partial 16S ribosomal RNA". It matches the Rfam family "Bacterial large subunit ribosomal RNA", at positions 1829 to 2597 of the family's 2925-position model. Lineage: Eukaryota; Metazoa; Annelida; Polychaeta; Phyllodocida; Pholoidae. The record is from RNAcentral.